AGCUUUGCACAGUGGCAGCAUCAUAGCUAAUGAGGUUUAUCCAAAGCAUGAUUAUUGCUAAUUGAAAACUUUUCUCAAGGAA
This is a small nuclear RNA of Fukomys damarensis (Damara mole-rat), 82 nucleotides long. Its record names the gene U4. It matches the Rfam family "U4 spliceosomal RNA". Rfam says of the family: U4 small nuclear RNA (U4 snRNA) is a component of the major U2-dependent spliceosome. The structure of U4 snRNA from yeast and human has been reported. NCBI's taxonomy places the organism in Eukaryota, Metazoa, Chordata, Mammalia, Rodentia, Bathyergidae. The record is from Ensembl.